CCCUUAGAUGUCCUGGGCCGCACGCGCGUUACACUGAUGCAUUCAACGAGCUUAUAACCUUGGCCGAGAGGCCUGGGCAAUCUUGUUAACGUGCAUCGUGAUAGGGAUAGAUUAUUGAAAUUAUUAAUCUUGAACGAGGAAUUCCUAGUAAACGCAGAUCAUCAAUCUGCAUCGAUUACGUCCCUGCCCUUUGUACACACCGCCCGUCGCUCCUACCGAUUGAAUGCUCAGGUGAGCCAUUCGGACUUUCAUCAUGCUGGUUUCCAGUUUUGAUGAAGGAAAGUCUUGCGAACCUUAUCAUUUAGAGGAAGGAGAAGUCGUAACA
This 325-nucleotide ribosomal RNA is filed under the name uncultured eukaryote. RNAcentral describes it as "partial 18S ribosomal RNA". It matches the Rfam family "Eukaryotic small subunit ribosomal RNA", at positions 1470 to 1796 of the family's 1831-position model. The record is from RNAcentral.